Molecule: ribosomal RNA, 381 nt
Filed under: Triticum aestivum (bread wheat)
Lineage: Eukaryota; Viridiplantae; Streptophyta; Magnoliopsida; Poales; Poaceae
Description: partial small subunit ribosomal RNA
Source: RNAcentral
AUGCAGCCCCGGCGGAGCUCCAACGACCCCGGCGGCGCUCCAUUGCAGCCCCGGCCGCGCUUCAUUGCAGCGCCGGCGAUGACAGCGGAUGCUGCGAUGCAGCACGCGGCGGCCAUGGCGGAAGUUGCGAUGCAGCGCACGACGACGACGGCGCAGGCUGCUUCGCCGGAGCUGCAGUGGAGCAGCGGUGCAGCGACGCGAGGCGACGGCGGUUUGCAGCAGCGGCGAAGAGCAUGGCGUGUAGGAGCAGGCAUAGCAGAAACGCGAGUGGUGGCGGGCCGGCACUGGUGCCGAUGGCGCUGCCAUGGCUGUGUUGUGCCGCAGGAAGAAGAAAAACGAGGAGAAGAAACCAGCAGCUCAACGCGUGCAGGAAAGAGAUAA